This 138-nucleotide ribosomal RNA is filed under the name uncultured eukaryote. Its description in RNAcentral is "partial 18S ribosomal RNA". It matches the Rfam family "Eukaryotic small subunit ribosomal RNA", at positions 1299 to 1458 of the family's 1831-position model. The record is from RNAcentral.
UGGUGGAGUGAUUUGUCUGGUUAAUUCCGUUAACGAACGAGACUUUGCCCUGCUAACUAGACAUUAUAGCCUCGGCUAUAGCUGGACUUCUUAGAGGGACUUUGCGUGUCUAACGCAAGGAAGUUCAAAGCAAUAACA